RNAcentral lists this ribosomal RNA (446 nucleotides) under uncultured bacterium. RNAcentral's name for it is "partial 16S ribosomal RNA". It matches the Rfam family "Bacterial small subunit ribosomal RNA", at positions 338 to 795 of the family's 1533-position model. The record is from RNAcentral.
CCUACGGGUGGCUGCAGUCGAGAAUCAUUCACAAUGGGGGAAACCCUGAUGCUGCGACGCCGCGUGGGGGAAUGAAGGUCUUCGGAUUGUAAACCCUUUUCAUGUGGGAGCAAAUUAACAAGAUAGUACCACAAGAGGAAGAGACGGCUAACUCUGUGCCAGCAGGCGCGGUAAUACAGAGGUCCCAAGCGUUGUUCGGAAUCACUGGGCGUAAGGCGUGCGUAGGCUGUUUCGUAAGUCGUGUGUGAAAGGCGCGGGCUCAAGCCGCGGACGGAACAUGAUACUGCGAGACUAGAGUGAGGGAGAGGGAACCGGAAUUCUCGGUGUAGCAGUGAAAUGCGUAGAUAUCGGGAGGAACACUCGUGGCGAAGGCGGGUUCCUGGACAUUAACUGACGCUGAGGCACGAAGGCCAGGGGAGCGAAAGGGAUUAGAUACCCUGGUAGUC